RNAcentral lists this transfer RNA (69 nucleotides) under Apis koschevnikovi. Its description in RNAcentral is "tRNA-Asn". The record is from RNAcentral. Lineage: Eukaryota; Metazoa; Arthropoda; Insecta; Hymenoptera; Apidae.
UUAGUUAAAGCUAAUUAUUUAGCAAUUUAUUGUUAAUAAAUUAUUUGGAUAAUAUUUAUUCUAACUAAA